AAAAAGUAAUCAAUCGAACGUUUAAAUAGAGCACUCAAGUAAAACGAGUAAAACCCUGUUUCGACAAAAUAAACUAUAACAAGACGAAACUCGCAGAAACGGAAGGAGAUGACGACGGAACUUACACAACAAUCGCACAAUCGACAUAACAAGAAACGAAAGAAUUCCUAAUUAAUGCAGAAUCAAGUAUAAAACAAACAAAAAGAAAAAAUAAAAAGGAAAGAAGAAAACAAAGAACUAGAAAAGGAAAGAAAAAAAUGAAAGAAUGAUAUAAUUAAUUUAGAAUGAUUUAAGUUAACCACCAACCAGCCUUACAGCGUUUAGCAAAAAUAUUUCC
RNAcentral lists this long non-coding RNA (337 nucleotides) under Gossypium raimondii (Peruvian cotton). RNAcentral describes it as "long non-coding RNA (GRAI_LNC003214)". The record is from RNAcentral. Lineage: Eukaryota; Viridiplantae; Streptophyta; Magnoliopsida; Malvales; Malvaceae.